Long non-coding RNA from Rhea pennata, 1493 nucleotides. RefSeq lists it as uncharacterized. The transcript is spliced from 5 exons. The record is from RefSeq and is a predicted model, not a curated record. NCBI's taxonomy places the organism in Eukaryota, Metazoa, Chordata, Aves, Rheiformes, Rheidae.
GGCAGGCGGCGGUGCUGAGCUCGGUUCACGCUCGGAGAGCGGCUUCCCUCCUGCCCACAGCAGAGGCGCUCCCCCACCCUCCUUCCUCCUCCUCUUCCUCCCGGAAUCUGGUGCUGAUCUCCAUCACGACUAGGAACGUUUGCAUUUAGUGGUACAUCCAGCCUUUCUCUGAUGAAAACCACCGAGAAUACAUCAGUAAAACUGGUGGGAAAUGUACCAAUGGAGUAUGUAAAUGCAGGCUGGAAAAGAGAAACACAAAGUAGUUGAGAAAAAGGAAAAAGUCAAUAGAUGCAAUGAAAACAACAACAACAACAAAAGGAAUGAACUAACUGAGACCAUCCCUGUCUUUUUGAGGAGGAUUCUGACUAUAAGGAAUAUUAACAGCAUACCAAGAAUGUCACCAACAUGCCAAAUGGAGGGGACGUUCAAGGAAUCAACAGGAAAUACUACAGAAAUAGAUUAUCUGAAAUCUUGUCAAUUGGCUGCAAUCUGGCUUCACUCAACUUUUCCCUACGUGUUGAGAGCAGAUAUUCUCUCUGAAUAGGCUCAGGUCAGUCAUGUUGUAUUACAGUAUGCAAUGGUAUAUUAUGACAAGGGAGUCUUUGCAUUACACUGUUCUUGUAAAAGGGAUGAUAAGUACAGGAAGAAAUGCCUUUACAGGUCAUAUUUACUAGACAGAUAUAUUGCCAAGCGCUGUACUGUUUGUGCUGCUGUAACAGUCCAGGGGAAAAUGUCUCCUUCUUGAGACAGAAGUAGGCUUUACAGCAGCCAAAUUGCAAAAGCCCUGUGGGGCUUCUGAGUCCAAAAUCUGCAAUUGAAUUUAAGCUGGAACAGAUAACUAGGUAAGUAAAUAAGUUAUGCCAUAAUGGCCUAUUAGAGUAUAACAAUAUGUUGCCUUUUAGAUAACUUCCAGUUUGCUAAUUUGAAAAUUACAACCCUAUGAAAGCUUUCAGAGUGACAGCACAUUUGUUUGUAGUCCAGUAUCUGAAUAUGGCAAAUAUUGGUUCUAUUAAGCUAUUAUAAAGCUAAACAUCUACAUCAGACACAUUUUCUUUCUGCAUGAACACAAAGGCAUAAUGUUCAUGUUUUGCUGAUAUCUGCAUGAUUAACUACAUUUGUUUUCUAUUUACCACAGAAAGCUGUGCUCUCAAAAACCUAUCUGAAACGUUCCAACUUUCACUCAGGGACAUUUCUCCCUGAAUAAAGACCAAAGAGCAGUAGAUGUCAGUAAUCAGGAAUCUCUAAGGACCCCAAUUUUUACAGCCUCAUUAGUACUGUCUUAAUUAGAUGUUGCCCAGGUUGGCAUUGACUUGUUAAGCUUAUAUGGAAUGCAGUGAAGGGCAACCGAUAUGCUCUCAAAAUGUCAAAUAAUGUAUCCAGCUUCCAUAAUAUAUGAUAUUAUCUAUAAAAGGCUAGUCUGAGUUAAAGACAAAUGGUCUUACAUUCUGUCCUCUUUUAGCUCUCUUAGUAAACUCUAUGAUUUUCUCUUUAUU